GUCAGCAGCAGGCCCGUUGAAGUGGAAGUACUCUGCAAUCCUGUCUUUCCUCGGCCCAUUUGUUACUUCGAGGGAGACCAGUAGCAAUAUGGUGCUGGGGGUCGAGGUAGACAGGAUUGCAGAGUACCCAGUCGAGGACCACGGUUCAGAGGCAGCAGCAGGGACAGCGUGUGACCUAGGAGAUGAUGAGGAGCCGGAGGCUGCUGCUGCCUCUGAACCGAUUCCACCACCACCACCGACUGCUGCUGUCACCACUCCUCCUAUUGCCCCAGUGAGGACACAAAACAGAAAAAGGGAGACUGAGAUAGAGACCUUACUGCUGGAGGUGCUGAGGAAGCAGAACGCACCUGUGCCUCCACCUGUCCUCUCAGAGGAUGAGCACUUUUUAAAAGCAAUACUUCCUUCCCUGCAACGAUUGCCACCCAAUGCAAAGGAACAAAUUAAAUUCCAAAUGUAUACAUUAUUGCACGAGGCAAACUGUGUGUAUAAUCCUGUGGAGUUUAAUUUGAUCAAUCAAUUUGGACCAGUCGAUGACUAAGUUCUGGGGUGACAAUCGUUGAAGGGAAUGAUCCAUGCCC
Molecule: long non-coding RNA, 578 nt
Organism: Gadus morhua (Atlantic cod)
Lineage: Eukaryota; Metazoa; Chordata; Actinopteri; Gadiformes; Gadidae
Source: Ensembl